UACGGAGGAUCCAAGCGUUAUCCGGAUUUACUGGGUUUAAAGGGUGCGUAGGCGGAUUGAUAAGUCAGUGGUGAAAUCCUGCAGCUUAACUGCAGAAUUGCCGUUGAUACUGUUAGUCUGGAGUAUGGUUGAGGUAGCUGGAACGUGUCGUGUAGCGGUGAAAUGCUUAGAGAUGACACAGAACACCAACGGCGAAGGCAGGUUACCAACCCAUUACUGACGCUGAGGCACGAAAGCGUGGGGAGCAAACAGGAUUAGAUACC
Molecule: ribosomal RNA, 263 nt
Filed under: uncultured bacterium
Lineage: Bacteria
Description: partial 16S ribosomal RNA
Rfam family: Bacterial small subunit ribosomal RNA
Source: RNAcentral